GAAGGGGGCAAGCGUUGUUCGGAAUUACUGGGCGUAAAGGGAGUGUAGGCGGUUAUGUAAGAUAGUGGUGAAAUCCCAGAGCUUAACUUUGGAAUUGCCAUUAUGACUAUGUGGCUAGAAUUACAGAGAGGAUAGUGGAAUACCCAGUGUAGAGGUGAAAUUCGUAGAUAUUGGGUAGAACACCAGUGGCGAAGGCGACUAUCUGGCUGUAUAUUGACGCUGAGGCUCGAGAGCAUGGGGAUCAAACAGGAUUAGAUACCCUGGUAGUCCAUGCUGUAAACGAUGAGUGCUUGUUGUCGGUAUUGUAUCGGUGACGAAGUUAACGCGUUAAGCACUCCGCCUGGGGAGU
RNAcentral lists this ribosomal RNA (349 nucleotides) under uncultured bacterium. RNAcentral's name for it is "bacterial SSU rRNA". It matches the Rfam family "Bacterial small subunit ribosomal RNA", at positions 527 to 881 of the family's 1533-position model. The record is from RNAcentral.